AUCUUCCACAAUGGACGAAAGUCUGAUGGAGCAACGCCGCGUGCAGGAUGACGGUCUUCGGAUUGUAAACUGCUUUUAUACGGGAAGAUUAUGACGGUACCGUAUGAAUAAGCCCCGGCUAACUACGUGCCGGCAGCCGCGGUAAUACGUAGGGUGCUAGCGUUAUCCGGAAUCACUGGGCGUAAAGCGUGCGUAGGCGGCUUGUUAAGUGAGAUGUUAAAACGUGGGGCUCAACCCUGUCGGUGCAUCUCAUACUGGCAGGCUAGAGGAAGGCAGAGGCAAGUGGAAUUGGUAGUGUAGCAGUGAAAUGCGUAGAUAUUACCAGGAACACCAAUGGCGAAGGCAGCUUGCUGGGCCUUUUCUGACGCUGAGGUACGAAAGCGUGGGGAGCGAAC
Molecule: ribosomal RNA, 395 nt
Filed under: uncultured bacterium
Lineage: Bacteria
Description: bacterial SSU rRNA
Rfam family: Bacterial small subunit ribosomal RNA
Source: RNAcentral